This 407-nucleotide ribosomal RNA is filed under the name uncultured bacterium. RNAcentral's name for it is "partial 16S ribosomal RNA". It matches the Rfam family "Bacterial small subunit ribosomal RNA", at positions 30 to 526 of the family's 1533-position model. The record is from RNAcentral.
AUUGAACGCUGGCGGCAGGCCUAACACAUGCAAGUCGAGCGGAGCGGCGGACGGGUGAGUAAUGCCUAGGAAUCUGCCAGGUAGUGGGGGAAAACGUCCGGAAACGGGCGCUAAUACCGCAUACUAUCAGAUGAGCAUAUGUCGGAUUGGCUGGUUGGUGGGGGAAAGGCCUACCACGGCGACGAGCCGUAACUGGUCUGAGAGGAUGAUCAGUCACACUGGAACUAGGCCACGGUCCAGACUCCGACUUAGUCCAUCCGGUAAAGAUAUUGCACAAGGGGCGCAAGCCUGAUCCAGCCAUGCCGCGUGUAUGAAGAGGUCCUUCGGGUUGUAAAGUACUUUCAGCGGGGAGGCGUUACCCGCAGAAGAAGCACCGGCUAACUCCGUGCCAGCAGCCGCGGUAAUUC